UGGGGAAUUUUGCACAAUGGGGGAAACCCUGAUGCAGCGACGCCGCGUGAUUUAGAAGGCCUUCGGGUUGUAAAAAUCUUUUCUAUGGGAAGAAAAUGACAGUACCAUAGGAAUAAGGACCGGCUAAUUACGUGCCAGCAGCCGCGGUAAUACGUAAGGUCCGAGCGUUGUCCGGAAUCAUUGGGCGUAAAGGGUACGUAGGCGGGUAAGCAAGUUAGAAGUGAAAUCCUAUAGCUCAACUAUAGUAAGCUGUUAAAACUGCUCAUCUUGAGGUAUGGAAGGGAAAGUGGAAUUCCUAGUGUAGCGGUGAAAUGCGCAGAUAUUAGGAGGAAUACCGGUGGCGAAGGCGACUUUCUGGCCAUAACCUGACGCUGAGGUACGAAAGCGUGGGUAGCAAACAGG
RNAcentral lists this ribosomal RNA (402 nucleotides) under bacterium. RNAcentral describes it as "partial 16S ribosomal RNA". It matches the Rfam family "Bacterial small subunit ribosomal RNA", at positions 355 to 776 of the family's 1533-position model. RNAcentral also lists the same sequence under 1 other name. The record is from RNAcentral.